RNAcentral lists this long non-coding RNA (204 nucleotides) under Carica papaya (papaya). RNAcentral's name for it is "long non-coding RNA (CPAP_LNC005738)". Lineage: Eukaryota; Viridiplantae; Streptophyta; Magnoliopsida; Brassicales; Caricaceae. The record is from RNAcentral.
UCAACUUUCUCUUUUGCUGUAAUAUUAAAUGGAGGAUCAUCUUCGUUCUUCACAGCUUCAAGAGGAUUGAGGCAAGGUGACUCACUAUCACUGUUGCUAUUCAUCAUUGUGAUGGAAGCAUUUAGCAGAUUUUUGGAAUGAGUGAGAGAACUUAAUUUGAUCAAAAGGUUAUAGUUGGUAAAGGAAAUUCUAGAGAGGAGAUUU